RNAcentral lists this long non-coding RNA (270 nucleotides) under Ananas comosus (pineapple). Its description in RNAcentral is "long non-coding RNA (ACOM_LNC026842)". The record is from RNAcentral. Lineage: Eukaryota; Viridiplantae; Streptophyta; Magnoliopsida; Poales; Bromeliaceae.
UACGAUUUUUGGCGCCCUUUCGUCUCAUUUAGGGCAUUAGUUAGGGCAUUAAUAGCUGCCGUCACUUUAUCAUCAUCGCAACUUAUUUCGAAAUUCCCUCCAACAGUUUCGUCUUCCUUGUUCUCGUUUCCUCCUCUUUGACUUCUCUUCUUUACUUCCUUCUCGGGAUCCCCAUCUUCGACUCCUCUUCUUUAUUCCUUUCUCAAGAUCCUUUUCUCUGCAAUCCUCUUCUCCCUUCAUCUCUAGAUUAGAUUUUACUCUUUUGAACCC